Molecule: long non-coding RNA, 245 nt
Filed under: Marmota monax (woodchuck)
Lineage: Eukaryota; Metazoa; Chordata; Mammalia; Rodentia; Sciuridae
Source: RNAcentral
AAUUUUUAAUGUUUAUUAAUAGAUCAGUACUUUGGAGAUUCUAAAUUUGGAAGAUCAGGGUGCACUUCUGAGUGAUGAUGAAAUAUUUGCUAGCCGUCAAACUGGGAAACAUACCUGCAUGGCCUUGCGCAAGUAUUUUGAGGCUCACCUGGCCAUUAAAUUGGAACAAGUGAAACAGUCACUUCAGAGAACUGAGGGUGGCAUUCUUGUUCACCCUCAACCCCCAUACAAGGUAAGAGGUUGUA